GCAAGUCGAGGGGUAACAUUGUAGCUUGCUUUUUUGCUGACGAGUGGCGCACGGGUGCGUAACGCGUAUACAAUCUACCUUUUACAGGGGGAUAGCCUUUAGAAAUGAAGAUUAAUACCCCAUGGCAAGUGAUUUUCGCAUGGAGGACACUUUAAAGUUUCGGUGGUAAAAGAUGAGUAUGCGUUCUAUUAGCUAGAUGGUAAGGUAACGGCUUACCAUGGCAACGAUAGAUAGGGGCCCUGAGAGGGGGAUC
This 253-nucleotide ribosomal RNA is filed under the name uncultured bacterium. RNAcentral describes it as "partial 16S ribosomal RNA". It matches the Rfam family "Bacterial small subunit ribosomal RNA", at positions 57 to 305 of the family's 1533-position model. The record is from RNAcentral.